This 496-nucleotide ribosomal RNA is filed under the name uncultured bacterium. Its description in RNAcentral is "partial 16S ribosomal RNA". It matches the Rfam family "Bacterial small subunit ribosomal RNA", at positions 29 to 507 of the family's 1533-position model. The record is from RNAcentral.
AUGAACGCUGGCGGCGUGCCUAAUACAUGCAAGUCGAGCGAACAGACGAGGAGCUUGCUCCUCUGACGUUAGCGGCGGACGGGUGAGUAACACGUGGAUAACCUACCUAUAAGACUGGGAUAACUUCGGGAAACCGGAGCUAAUACCGGAUAAUAUAUUGAACCGCAUGGUUCAAUAGUGAAAGACGGUUUUGCUGUCACUUAUAGAUGGAUCCGCGCCGCAUUAGCUAGUUGGUAAGGUAACGGCUUACCAAGGCAACGAUGCGUAGCCGACCUGAGAGGAGGAUCGGCAACACUGGAAGGGAGAAAAGGUCAAGACUCCGAGGGUGGGCAGCAGUAGGGAUUCUUCCGAAAUGGGCGAAAGCCAAACGGAGCAACGCCGCGGGAGUGAUAAAGGUCUUCGGAUCGAAAAGCUCUGUUAUUAGGGAAGAACAAAUGGGUAAGUAACUAUGCACGUCUUGACGGUACCUAAUCAGAAGACCACGGCUAACUGCGAG